GAAGAAGAGAGAAUCUCAAGCAGGCUCCAUGCUCAGUGCAGAGUCCAUCUUUGGGAUCAUAACCUGAGCCGAUAUCAAGAGUUGGAUGCCAACUGACUGAGCCACCCCGGCACCCAAGCAAAUACUUUAGAUCAUUAAACUAAAUUAAGAAGUUGUGCUGAUCAGGGGCGCCUGGGUGGCUCAGUCGGUUGAGCAUCUGACUUCAGCUCAGGUUAUGAGCUCCCGGUUUGUGAGUUCAAUACCGGCGUCAGGAUCCGUGCUGUCAGCUCGCAGCCUGGAGCCUGCUUCUGAUUCUAUGUCUCCCUCCCUCUCUGCCCAUCACACUUGUGCUCUUUUUCUCUCAAAAAUAAACUUAAAAAAAAGUCCUGGCCAGAUAUCAACUCCUAAAAAGAAUCGAGGCAAUUUUUGUAGCAUAUUCUUUUACAGUUGUCGUACAUUUGCCAUGAAUGAAAUUGCCUUCCAGCGUUUGCUCCUUAACGGUAAUGAGUGCCUACUGUGAGCAAGGCGCCGUGCUGAGCACUGUGGUCAGGAGGGAAGUUUAAUCUCCUUAGUCCCACACUUAAAGCCUUUGGUGAUAGGGUUUCCACCUGCCAUUCCUACCCUGAGUCCUGAACCCUACUUGACAUGCCCUUGGUCCCUCACACCCCUCAGCCAGGUCUUCAGAGCAGGCCAGAGUCAUCUCCCUGCACUUUCUAUACCCUUCUCCUCACCCCUGCAGGUGUCACUGUCCCACCCUACAUAGCCUGGUCACCUGCUCCUGUAUCCCCCAACGGUAGCCACAGCUGGACGUGAGCUCCCAUCAUCAACCACUACCAGCCCCCCUGCUGUGCCCGUACUAAUCUCCACUUGUAUUUACGUGAUUUACGUACACUCGAUGACAUCUCUUGACUGGAGGAUGGUCCAGUUCAUCCUGUGUGUCAGUGACUUGCCCCCAUUAGAUAUGUAAGUACUCAUUGAAGGAAGGAGUCUUCUCUGCACCCACACUCACACUCCGGCCCCUCUCAUGCUUGUGGUUGAAAAGCAUCCUCUUACACGGUGUUCUGGGGACACACGGGAAAAGAGGGACACUUGGAGUGGCUUUCAGCAGGGGCCGUCUGCUUCUUUCUUUCUUGGCUCUGCGGUGCAAAUCCUCCCCGUCGCCGGGAGGGCUUUAUCCGGAGCACUCUGGACCCCUGAGCCGGCUGGAGGGCUGGGAUCACCUCGUGCUCCACCUGCGGCAGGUUUUGUGAGGCCGGUGGGUUAUUUAAUCUUCCUGUGGCGUCAUUUCCCCAUCUGUUGAGGAGGGAUAAUGUGUUUGAGGAUGACCUACCUCCCCGGCAGUCUUAGCGACUUAAUGCCGUGCGGUUCACUUUAACCCGGGUCAGCUGGGCACAAGGGGGCGGGCGAGCAGGCGCCCAGUCAGCCCCGCAGCCACAGAAUGGGUGCCCCGUGAGACCUGGGGCCUCGUGUUCUAGGUUGCCCCGGGCCCAGUGGCAGGCGGGCUCCCAUCAAGGGCUUGUGGGGUCUCCUCUCUCGGCUGGUUCAAGUGGCUGAGGUGGGGAGGAUGAGAUGGCAUCUGGAUGACUUCUGGGCUUGUGGUGCUGAAAGGGGAGAGGCCAGACUCCCGCGGAGGGCAUGGUUGCAACUGCCCCGGAGCGGCAGGAAAGUGGGCGCCAGGCCCCGGGGGGACCCUGCGACUGGGCCCACAUGGCCCGGCGAUCAGCUUUCCUUGGACUCAUCGAUGAGCUAGGGGAAGGUCAUUUGAUCCUCACAUUCUUAUGGCCACGAUCUUGGGAAGGUGGCCCUUUCUCUUUAAGAAGAACUGUGCUGGGCGCCUGGGUGGCUCAGUCGGUUAAGUGUCUGACUUUGGCUCAGGUCAUGAUCUCACAGCUCGUGAUUUCGAGCCCUGCAUCAGGCUCUCUGCUGUCAGCACAGAAUCCACUUUGGAUCCUCUGUCCCCCUCUGUCUCUCUGUCCCUCCCCCACUUGUGCUCUCUCUCUCUCAAAAAUAAACAUUAAAAAAAAAAAAAAAGCUGUGAGCUGCGAGGUCCAGAAGCAGUGUCCCGCGACGGAGGGGAGGCCCCAGUGUGGGGAAGAGGGGCUGAUUACUCCUUGGAUGACAUCCCUCAGCCCUGCUUCACUGGUGGCAUGCAGAUACGGCAAAAACGAAGAUGCUGAAGCUGGGAAAAUGUGGUUCCUGAUCUCAAAACCGUUUGCAAACUGUCCAGUCCGCUACACCAGCGGAAGAAGCAGCAGUGCCUCAGGAAGGUGAAGCAGGGAACUGCAUCCAGCUGCCCAGGAACCCUAGCAUGUACCCAGACCGAGGCAAG
This is a long non-coding RNA of Felis catus (domestic cat), 2308 nucleotides long. RefSeq lists it as uncharacterized. NCBI's taxonomy places the organism in Eukaryota, Metazoa, Chordata, Mammalia, Carnivora, Felidae. The record is from RefSeq and is a predicted model, not a curated record. The transcript is spliced from 3 exons.